AACGAACGCUGGCGGCAGGCCUAACACAUGCAAGUCGAGCGAACCCUUCGGGGUUAGCGGCGGACGGGUUAGUAACGCGUGGGAAUAUACCCUUUGGUACGGAAUAGCCUCGGGAAACUGAGAGUAAUACCGUAUGUGCCCUUCGGGGGAAAGAUUUAUCGCCAAAGGAUUAGCCCGCGUUGGAUUAGAUAGUUGGUGGGGUAAUGGCCUACCAAGUCUACGAUCCAUAGCUGGUUUGAGAGGAUGAUCAGCAACACUGGGACUGAGACACGGCCCAGACUCCUACGGGAGGCAGCAGUGGGGAAUCUUAGACAAUGGGCGCAAGCCUGAUCUAGCCAUGCCGCGUGGACGAUGAAGGCCUUAGGGUUGUAAAGUCCUUUCAGAUGGGAAGAUAAUGACGGUACCAUCAGAAGAAGCCCCGGNUAACUCCGUG
Molecule: ribosomal RNA, 433 nt
Filed under: uncultured bacterium
Lineage: Bacteria
Description: bacterial SSU rRNA
Rfam family: Bacterial small subunit ribosomal RNA
Source: RNAcentral